CCUACGGGAGGCAGCAGUGGGGAAUAUUGCACAAUGGGCGCAAGCCUGAUGCAGCGACGCCGCGUGGGGGAUGAAGGCCUUCGGGUUGUAAACCCCUUUCAGCAGGGAAGCGGUACCUGCAGAAGAAGCGCCGGCUAACUACGUGCCAGCAGCCGCGGUAAUACGUAGGGCGCAAGCGUUGUCCGGAAUUAUUGGGCGUAAAGAGCUCGUAGGCGGUUUGUCGCGUCUGCUGUGAAAGUCCGAGGCUCAACCUCGGAUCUGCAGUGGGUACGGGCAGACUAGAGUGUGGUAGGGGAGACUGGAAUUCCUGGUGUAGCGGUGGAAUGCGCAGAUAUCAGGAGGAACACCAAUGGCGAAGGCAGGUCUCUGGCCCAACUGACGCUGAGGAGCGAAAGCAUGGGGAGCGAACAGGAUUAGAUACCCUGGUAGUC
Molecule: ribosomal RNA, 431 nt
Filed under: uncultured bacterium
Lineage: Bacteria
Description: partial 16S ribosomal RNA
Rfam family: Bacterial small subunit ribosomal RNA
Source: RNAcentral